RNAcentral lists this transfer RNA (69 nucleotides) under Johnius distinctus. Its description in RNAcentral is "tRNA-Phe". It matches the Rfam family "tRNA". Rfam says of the family: Transfer RNA (tRNA) molecules are approximately 80 nucleotides in length. Lineage: Eukaryota; Metazoa; Chordata; Actinopteri; Sciaenidae. The record is from RNAcentral.
GCUAAUGUAGCCUAACUUAAAGCAUGACGCUGAAAAUGUUAAGAUGAGUCUUAAAAAGCUCCAUGAGCA